GACGAACGCUGGCGGCGUGCUUAACACAUGCAAGUCGAACGGAAAGGCCCUGCUUUUGUGGGGUGCUCGAGUGGCGAACGGGUGAGUAACACGUGAGUAACCUGCCCUUGACUUUGGGAUAACUUCAGGAAACUGGGGCUAAUACCGGAUAGGAGCUCCUGCUGCAUGGUGGGGGUUGGAAAGUUUCGGCGGUUGGGGAUGGACUCGCGGCUUAUCAGCUUGUUGGUGGGGUAGUGGCUUACCAAGGCUUUGACGGGUAGCCGGCCUGAGAGGGUGACCGGCCACAUUGGGACUGAGAUACGGCCCAGACUCCUACGGGAGGCAGCAGUGGGGAAUAUUGCACAAUGGGCGGAAGCCUGAUGCAGCAACGCCGCGUGCGGGAUGACGGCCUUCGGGUUGUAAACCGCUUUCGCCUGUGACGAAGCGUGAGUGCCGGUAAUGGGUAAAGAAGCACCGGCUAACUACGUGCCAGCAGCCGCGGUGAUACGUAGGGUGCGAGCGUUGUCCGGAUUUAUUGGGCGUAAAGGGCUCGUAGGUGGUUGAUCGCGUCGGAAGUGUAAUCUUGGGGCUUAACCCUGAGCGUGCCUUCGAUACGGGUUGACUUGAGGAAGGUAGGGGAGAAUGGAAUUCCUGGUGGAGCGGUGGAAUGCGCAGAUAUCAGGAGGAACACCAGUGGCGAAGGCGGUUCUCUGGGCCUUUCCUGACGCUGAGGAGCGAAAGCGUGGGGAGCGAACAGGCUUAGAUACCCUGGUAGUCCACGCUGUAAACGGUGGGUACUAGGUGUGGGGUCCAUUCCACGGGUUCCGUGCCGUAGCUAGCGCUUUAAGUACCCCGCCUGGGGAGUACGGCCGCAAGGCUAAAACUCAAAGGAAUUGACGGGGCCCCGCACAAGCGGCGGAGCAUGCGGAUUAAUUCGAUGCAACGCGUAGAACCUUACCUGGGUUUGACAUGGAUCGGGAGUGCUCAGAGAUGGGUGUGCCUCUUUUGGGGUCGGUUCACAGGUGGUGCAUGGCUGUCGUCAGCUCGUGUCGUGAGAUGUUGGGUUAAGUCCCGCAACGAGCGCAACCCUUGUUCACUGUUGCCAGCACGUUAUGGUGGGGACUCAGUGGAGACCGCCGGGGUCAACUCGGAGGAAGGUGGGGAUGACGUCAAGUCAUCAUGCCCCUUAUGUCCAGGGCUUCACGCAUGCUACAAUGGCUGGUACAGAGAGUGGCGAGCCUGUGAGGGUGAGCGAAUCUCGGAAAGCCGGUCUCAGUUCGGAUUGGGGUCUGCAACUCGACCUCAUGAAGUCGGAGUCGCUAGUAAUCGCAGAUCAGCAACGCUGCGGUGAAUACGUUCCCGGGGCU
This 1346-nucleotide ribosomal RNA is filed under the name uncultured bacterium. RNAcentral describes it as "partial 16S ribosomal RNA". It matches the Rfam family "Bacterial small subunit ribosomal RNA", at positions 28 to 1381 of the family's 1533-position model. The record is from RNAcentral.